RNAcentral lists this ribosomal RNA (589 nucleotides) under uncultured bacterium. Its description in RNAcentral is "partial 16S ribosomal RNA". It matches the Rfam family "Bacterial small subunit ribosomal RNA", at positions 355 to 1376 of the family's 1533-position model. The record is from RNAcentral.
UGGGGAAUAUUGGACAAUGGGCGCAAGCCUGAUCCAGCAAUGCCGCGUGUGUGAAGAAGGCCUUCGGGUUGUAAAGCACUUUUAUCAGGAGCGAAACGCUGUCGGCUAAUACCCGGCGGAACUGACGGUACCUGAGGAACAAGCACCGGCUAACUUCGUGCCAGCAGCCGCGGUAAUACGAAGGGUGCAAGCGUUAAUCGGAAUUACUGGGCGUAAAGCGUGCGUAGGCGGUUUCUUAAGUCUGCUGUGAAAUCCCCGGGCUCAACCUGGGAAUGGCAGUGGAUACUGGGAGGCUAGAGUGUGUCAGAGGGUGGUGGAAUUCCCGGUGUAGCGGUGAAAUGCGUAGAGAUCGGGAGGAACAUCAGUGGCGAAGGCGGCCACCUGGGACAACACUGACGCUGAGGCACGAAAGCGUGGGGGAGCAAACAGGAUUAGAUACCCUGGUAGUCCACGCCCUAAACGAUGCGAACUGGAUGUUGGUCUCAACUCGGAGAUCAGUGUCGAAGCUAACGCGUUAAGUUCGCCGCCUGGGGAGUACGGUCGCAAGACUGAAACUCAAAUGAAUUGACGGGGUCAUAGCUGUUUCCUG